RNAcentral lists this ribosomal RNA (407 nucleotides) under uncultured Propionibacteriaceae bacterium. RNAcentral's name for it is "bacterial SSU rRNA". It matches the Rfam family "Bacterial small subunit ribosomal RNA", at positions 355 to 774 of the family's 1533-position model. The record is from RNAcentral. Lineage: Bacteria; Bacillati; Actinomycetota; Actinomycetes; Propionibacteriales; Propionibacteriaceae.
UGGGGAAUAUUGCACAAUGGGCGAAAGCCUGAUGCAGCAACGCCGCGUGCGGGAUGACGGCCUUCGGGUUGUAAACCGCUUUCAUCCAUGACGAAGCUAACGUGACGGUAGUGGAAGAAGAAGCACCGGCCAACUACGUGCCAGCAGCCGCGGUGAUACGUAGGGUGCAAGCGUUGUCCGGAAUUAUUGGGCGUAAAGAGCUUGUAGGCGGUUAAUCACGUCGGAAGUGAAAACUCAGGGCUCAACCCUGAGCCUGCUUCCGAUACGGGUUGACUAGAGGAAGGUAGGGGAGAACGGAAUUCCUGGUGGAGCGGUGGAAUGCUCAGAUAUCAGGAGGAACACCGGUGGCGAAGGCGGUUCUCUGGACCUUUCCUGACGCUGAGAAGCGAAAGCGUGGGUAGCAAACA